RNAcentral lists this long non-coding RNA (250 nucleotides) under Ananas comosus (pineapple). Its description in RNAcentral is "long non-coding RNA (ACOM_LNC005620)". The record is from RNAcentral. Lineage: Eukaryota; Viridiplantae; Streptophyta; Magnoliopsida; Poales; Bromeliaceae.
UUCAAAUUUAUACUUGAAAUUACAAUUUAAAUUUCAAUUCAAGUCUAUAAAAUUUAAUUUAUAAAAUUUAAAAUUUAAAAUUUAAAAAUAAAAUUUAAAUUAAAAAUUUAUUUAUCAAUUGCUUGAUUGAAUUUUAAUUUUACUUUAAGUUCAAAUUAAAAUAUAAAAUUAGAAAAUUAAUUUCUAAAUGUCAACUUAUAUUUUAACUUAAAAUUAAAGUUUAAAAAUUAAAUUUAAUUCCAAAUAAAAA